Molecule: non-coding RNA, 24 nt
Filed under: Arabidopsis thaliana (thale cress)
Lineage: Eukaryota; Viridiplantae; Streptophyta; Magnoliopsida; Brassicales; Brassicaceae
Source: RNAcentral
UGCUUCAGAGGUGUGGAAUGCGCU